This 460-nucleotide ribosomal RNA is filed under the name uncultured bacterium. Its description in RNAcentral is "partial 16S ribosomal RNA". It matches the Rfam family "Bacterial small subunit ribosomal RNA", at positions 338 to 795 of the family's 1533-position model. The record is from RNAcentral.
CCUACGGGAGGCAGCAGUGAGGAAUAUUGGUCAAUGGGCUUACGCCUGAACCAGCCAAGUCGCGUGAGGGAAGACUGCCCUAUGGGUUGUAAACCUCUUUUGUCAGGGAGCAACGCCGGCUACGUGUCGCCGGACUGAGAGUACCUGAAGAAAAAGCAACGGCUAACUCCGUGACAGCAGCAGCGGUAAUACGGAGGAUGCGAGCGUUAUCCGGAUUUAUUGGGUUUAAAGGGUGCGUAGGCGGAAUGCCAAGUCAGCGGUAAAAUCGCGGGGCUCAACCUCGCUCCGCCGUUGAAACUGGCGUUCUUGAGUGGGCGAGAAGUAUGCGGAAUGCGUGGUGUAGCGGUGAAAUGCAUAGAUAUCACGCAGAACUCCGAUUGCGAAGGCAGCAUACCGGCGCCCAACUGACGCUGAGGCACGAAAGCGUGGGUAUCGAACAGGAUUAGAUACCCUUGUAGUC